UAUCGUCCUGGCCUUCUGUUCCGUGCUGGUCAUGUUGCUGGUAUGCUCAUGCUAGUGGAGGUCUGGAACUCUUGCUUAGUGUCAAGUGGUUCAGCUAAAUUCUAUAUAUGUCCAGGGUCAAAAUUAAUUCAUUAUCAUUAAAACUAAAUUACAACUAAAGAUCGCUUAGACAAACCUCUCCCUCCUCUCGAGGUAUUGGCGUUAAAUGGAGAUCCUGUCCUCUAUUAAAUUGAAAUGAAUCGAGCGGAGUUUCACUAGUAUAUGCAGUAGUCCCAAUACAGCCCAACAUAACAUCAAAGGCUCGUAAACUUGCUUUCACUCUACGAUCCACGGUGUCGUCAUCACUGACCAAAAUCAUUUUCCCUUCAGUUUUUGACAUUGUUUUUCCAUCCGGAGAUGUAUGAUUUUGACUUUUCAAAUUUGAAGGUGGAUCGGGAGCAACUAGUUGUUUGCUUGAUCCUCCGUGAUACUUUGAUGUCAACUCUCCCAAUAUUUUCUCUAUGUUUUCCAAUCUGUGUUCAAUGGUUUGGAAUGACUCUUUGUUUUGUGCGACGAAUGACCCAAACCUUUCCAUUAGUAACUAAAAAGCAUCAUUAUUCGCAUUGUUCCACCCAGGAGGUUCUGCUUGUUCAGGCUUAUGAAGCCGAUCAGGGUCACGCAUCGAAACCUAAAAUAAUUCAUAAAAUAAUAACAAUUUAGUCCAAAAAUAUGGUAAUUGAUUUCAUUAAAAUAGUAUGCAUGUAUUCUAUACCUUAUUGCUUUUGAUGCUGAUAAAUGCAUAUUUUUCAUAUAUUUUGUUAUUAAUUUCUCCAUCUUUUUCUUGUUUUGAUAUGAAACAUUCUAGUUAUUUUAGUUAAUUUUUAAUUGAAUAUGGAAUUAAUUAAUAUACAUAUUUUACCCUUUAUUAUAUAUUUGCUAGUUAUUUUUAUUUAUUAUUUUUAAUUAAUUGUAUUAUUUUAUUGAAUAGGGAAUUAAUUGGAGAUUGUGGAUAAAAAGGACAUGAAGAAGUUCAAACAAAAAAAUCUUAUUGUACAGAGCAAUGUUUGAAAAUUAUCAUAGAUAAACAACUUCAAUUCACAUAGAAAUAAUAGUGGUGGAUACUUACUGCAUAUAUUGUCGGUAAAUACCAGUUUAUUGGUGCAUCACUGCGUUUAGCCCGUUCAUAUAGUGUGAGGUGAUAUGCUAUCAUGGUGAGAAUCUAAAACAGUGGUCAAUAAGUGAGAACUUAGUAUUCAAUUUUGCAAUAAGGCAUCCAAACAUAUAGUACGAUGAUGUGAGUGCCAAUGCACCACAAACCUCUCCACUCAGAGCCGUGUUAGGCAAAAGGCUCAUGAAAUUAUGCCUGGAGAUAAAUUGAUCAUCAGUAGAGACAACGAUUUCGCUGAAAACACAAACAAGUAAUAAAGUGUUAGCUAAUCAAUAUAUAUGUAUAGGGGAAUAAAAAAUACAAAGCCCUAUAAACCACAAGUACCUUCCGUUACCACCUUUAUCAAAUGCAUAUUGAAUGAGCUUCAAUUGGUCAAGAGAAAGGGGGUUAUUUACAUAGAAAUGACCAGCUUUAAACUUAGCCUUCGCUCCCCGAGACACUUUAUCAUAAGGAGAGAGUUGGUAUCGUCCUGGCCUUCUGUUCCGUGCUGGUCAUGUUGCUGGUAUGCUCAUGCUAGUGGAGGUCUGGAACUCUUGCUUAGUGUCAAGUGGUUCAGCUAAAUUCUAUAUAUGUCCAGGGUCAAAAUUAAUUCAUUAUCAUUAAAACUAAAUUACAACUAAAGAUCGCUUAGACAAACCUCUCCCUCCUCUCGAGGUAUUGGCGUUAAAUGGAGAUCAUGUU
RNAcentral lists this long non-coding RNA (1828 nucleotides) under Citrus sinensis (sweet orange). RNAcentral's name for it is "long non-coding RNA (CSIN_LNC004720)". Lineage: Eukaryota; Viridiplantae; Streptophyta; Magnoliopsida; Sapindales; Rutaceae. The record is from RNAcentral.